RNAcentral lists this ribosomal RNA (489 nucleotides) under uncultured bacterium. RNAcentral describes it as "partial 16S ribosomal RNA". It matches the Rfam family "Bacterial small subunit ribosomal RNA", at positions 28 to 507 of the family's 1533-position model. The record is from RNAcentral.
GACGAACGCUGGCGGCGUGCUUAACACAUGCAAGUCGAACGGUGAAGGGAUCAGCUUGCUGGUUCUGGAUGAGUGGCGAACGGGUGAGUAGCACGUGAGUAACCUGCCCCCUUCUUCUGGAUAACCGCAUGAAAGUGUGGCUAAUACGGGAUAUUCUGCGCCUGCUGCAUGGUGGGUGUGGGAAAGAUAUUGUUUCGGUGGGGGAUGGGCUCGCGGCCUAUCAGCUUGUUGGUGGGGUGAUGGCCUACCAAGGCGGUGACGGGUAGCCGGCCUGAGAGGGUGGACGGUCACACUGGGACUGAGACACGGCCCAGACUCCUACGGGAGGCAGCAGUGGGGAAUAUUGCACAAUGGGCGCAAGCCUGAUGCAGCGACGCCGCGUGAGGGAUGGAGGCCUUCGGGUUGUGAACCUCUUUCGCCAGUGAAGCAGGCCUGUCCCUUGUGGGUGGGUUGACGGUAGCUGGAUAAGAAGCGCCGGCUAACUACGUG